Long non-coding RNA from Octopus sinensis (East Asian common octopus), 98 nucleotides. RefSeq lists it as uncharacterized. The transcript has 3 exons. Lineage: Eukaryota; Metazoa; Mollusca; Cephalopoda; Octopoda; Octopodidae. The record is from RefSeq and is a predicted model, not a curated record.
AAAUGUCAAAGACUGAAACCGGUACUAACCAUUACUAAAUGUAUUUCAUGAUAAACUUAUUUUAGCAUUUUCUAUCAUGUCUUAUUUUCCCUAUUUAU